AUUGAAUUAAUUUCCUUACAAAACAUUGAAUUCAUCAAUUACUAAUGUGACAUGGUUUCUGCAAGCAAAAAAAAAUGCAUCAUCAUUAUGUACUUACAAAUUCACAUAUAUAUCUACACAAAUUGUUGUAAAAGUCAACUAAUUCUUAAAAUAGCAUGAAAAUACAAUGGUACGACGACAGGUAUGUCGAGCCUCCCAUUCUUGAUAGAAUAAUAAAAAAAUCACCAGAAAUUUUUGUAUCUCUGCACACUUUGUAACAAAGAGAGAAAAAUGGACGUUUUGUUUGAUAAAAUUGAUUGACAUUUGUGAAUGGGACAAUAAAAUCUGGCUCUUGUUUGUUUGAAAGCCAUUUUCUUUGAAUACCAAUUAAAUGUGGACUUCUUUGCUUUUAUGUCUAUCCAAUUUCUGGAAUUGAUAAAGGUGUGACUGACUAUCGAUUUCGUGAAAAAUGUCUUGUUGUUUGGAUGUUUUUCAGAGAAUAUAUAAAUCAUAAUUUGACAAGACGACUCUCAUACAAAGUUGUCUUAAGAAAAAAGUCAUACACUCCCUCCCAUUUUAUAUAUAAGAGCAUCCGUAAUGGGGUUCCUUGAUAGCCUACUUGAUAGUGUUUGUGUUAUUGAGUAGAUAGUGCUGCAUUGUAGUUCCUUGAUAGCCUACUUGAUAAAAUUAGUUUUGAUUUUAUGUUUUUCAUUUAAAUUUUAUUGCAUAAUUUAAAUAACACAAUUUAUUUCAAAUUUAAAUUGCAUUAAUUAUAAAAUCCUAAAUAUUACAUAAAACUUAAAUAAAAUAAAAACAAUUCAUAAAAAUUAACUACUCUGGUGACGACAUUUUUGGAAGAAAAAUUGUAGGAGGAACGAAUAUGAUAUUUUCACUACAAAAAAACGCUCAUUUUAGCUACGGAAUUAGCUACGGAUUUAUUUCCGUAGCUAUUCUGUGACGGAAUCGCUACGGAUUCGUGACGGAUAUAUUUUGUUAAAUUUUCCAACGGAUUUGACAACGGAUUUCCGUAGCAAUUCUUUCGCUACGGAUAUAAUCUGUCACUAAAGUUUAAAAAAAUAGUAAUUUUAUUAAAAAUUCUUAGCUACGGAAUAACCGUAGCUAAAGCCGUAGCUAAACUGAAAUUUUAUCCUUAGCUACGGAUUCUAUCCGUAGCAAAAUCAGCGUGACUUAUUAGCUACGGAAUUUCCGUAGCUAAAUCCAAAUAUUUUCAAAUCUAACGUCAAGCUUUUUCGCCCAAUUAAAACCUAGUUUUUUCUCACUAUUCCAACCGCGACUGGUCUUCCAUUUCUCCCACCGCCGUCCUCUCACCGGUGUCGCCACCGUCCUUGCUCGGACGCUCACCGUCGCAGCCGCCGUCGACUUGGUAAGUUCUCUUCGAUUUGAGGGGGUUCUCUUCUGGUUAUGGGAUGUUAAUAACUAAGCUUUGUUAUUUGAUAUUAUACUCCCAAUUUAGGGAUUGCACUGCCCUCGCCCAGCCCUACCCCGUCCCGCGACUCCAUAGCUGCAACAAUUGGUAAGCUUCGUUAUCAAUGCAGCAAACUUUUGAUACCUUAGUCAGUUUGAUUGAUUUCUCCUAAAAAUGAGCUUUUCUUAUUUGAAAGUUUUUAAAGAGUAAACACACUAUUAUCUCCAAUUUUUUGAUACCUAAAUUGUCGGUCAUUUUUUUUUAACUUUCGGGGUUGAAUUUAUUAUCUCCAAUUUUAAUGCUUCAGUAUUUCAGUUUUGAUCGGUUUCAGCAAGUAUUGGGUUCUAAAAGGAUUAAAUCAAACCCAUCAUCAUUUCUAUGUAGUUUUUGGUACUUAUUUAGUCGGCUAUUUGAUUUAAAUCUGAAAGUAUAUAAAGUUGUGGAAUCAUCUCCUCAUUUGGUUGAAUGCAUACUAGAAAAGUCUGCUUCUACACUAAUUAAACUCACUCGAGCUCUCACCAUAGCAGACCAUUCCACUGGUGUUGAAUUCUCAUGCAGCCAUUGUUGUCACUGCAUUUAAUUCUGAAGUAGUUUCUUUUUCAUUCAUGUUUGAGCAAGAGAUUAUUCCAGUAACUGCUUCUUGGAGAGUGUAUGUUUUGUGCUAAGGAGAGUAUCUUUGCUGGAGUUAUAGACUUUCCCAAAAAACUACGUGUUCAGUUUACUUCAUUGAAAGCUUUGUUUAUAGCAGGGUGGUUUUUGUCAUUUCAUAUAUUCCCCAUCAUCAAUUCUGAAUGCUUGUUUGAUAUAUGUAUACCACCUAUUCCAAGUGUUAGGCUAUUAGUAUCUUUUAUUUCGAGAAUCCAGCAACCCAUUUUUGUAUAAUUUCAUCUUAUUGUGUUUCACUAUAAGAAAUAGAGUAGUCUCUGAAAAUGCAAAAGCAACUUAUUGAUUCUGUGUUUGAGAUGAUUCCAUUUGUCUUAUGAAGGUGGGGAGAACAUUUUCUUACCCUAAAUUCCUUGGCUCAUUUAUGAAGCUGCUCUACUACCCCUUCUGUUCAGAAUCUAAGGAAUUAUUGAUGAUUAAGAAAUAGUUUUCUGGGUUCUUUGGGAUUAUAUAGUUCAUUAGUUUGUGGUCUGACCAGAAAUUCGGAAUGGAAAUUCUUUUAAUGAAAGUUCAUGCUGUGGUUCAAAAGGUUCCAUAAUUAUAGGAGUAUUAAACAAGGCUGAUUGCAUAUCUUUUUGAAAUAAAAUGAUUUGUGUUCGUGGAUUGGAUGGUAUCUUUAACUGUAUUCGAGGAUGCAUCUAAAGCUUGGCUUGCAAUAUAAAAUCUUUUUUCUAAACAAAAUAAACAGUUUUACAUGCUUUUGAUUUAUAUGCUUUUGUGAACUACAGAUAACCAAGACUUGUACGUCUUACAAAAAAACAAAUCUUUAAACUGUUGCAAUUUAUAAAAUAGAAAGUUAAUUAUGGAUUUUGCUGAAACCUGCGAACUUUUUGGAGUUUUCUAAAACAGAUUAAACCCCAAAGGAUUUUUAUUUUUAGUGUACUCUGCAUAUCAUUGAUGCUAUGAGAUUCGUCAUGUUUGUUGUAUAUGCAGAUAGGCGAUUACUUGGAUGUGGCAAUCACCCUGACUCAGUGAUCCUUGCUGCUGUUGUGUUGCUGAACUUUAUUGUGAGCAUAACCGACCACAUUUCUGUUUUGGUAGAAUCAUAUUUAGCUCAUGUUUGUAAUAUGACCCUUGAGAGGAGCUCCACGAAUGAUGUGAAUUCUACUUGGAAAUUGAUGAAUAGCAACUUAGCUACGGAUUAGCUACGGAUUUUUCCGUAGCUAAAUCCAAAUAGCCGGUGAAGAAACUCCUGUCGCCUGAUUCGGACUAGCCACGGAUUUUUCCGUAGCUAUUUAGCUACGGAUUUUUCCGUAGCUAAGUCCGUUGGUGACUGUUAAACGACGAUUACGGCGACACAUUCCAGCGAGGGAUAUUUCCGUAGCUAAAUCCGUAGCUAACGUUAGCGAGGGAUCGUAUUUCCGUAGCUAAAAAUUUAGCGACGAGCGAUAUACCUACGGACGACAUCCGUUCCCGAUCCGUAGGUAAAACUGUUUAGCUACGGAAUUAGUGUUUUUAGCUACGGAAAUUUCCGUAGCUAUUUUGCGCGAAUUUUGUAGUGUUUGCAAGAAAAAUUGAUAUUUUGCAAGAAAAAUUGUAGGAGGAAGAAGGAGUGAGUUGUGAUGAAUGAAAGUGAGUUGUGAUGAAUGAAUGAGGGAGAAGUAUUAUUUAUAGAGAGA
Molecule: long non-coding RNA, 3687 nt
Filed under: Salvia miltiorrhiza (redroot sage)
Lineage: Eukaryota; Viridiplantae; Streptophyta; Magnoliopsida; Lamiales; Lamiaceae
Description: long non-coding RNA (SMIL_LNC008678)
Source: RNAcentral